RNAcentral lists this ribosomal RNA (198 nucleotides) under uncultured bacterium. RNAcentral's name for it is "partial 16S ribosomal RNA". It matches the Rfam family "Bacterial small subunit ribosomal RNA", at positions 328 to 539 of the family's 1533-position model. The record is from RNAcentral.
ACGCUCGACACCUACGGGAGACAGCAGUGGGGAAUAUUGCACAAUGGAGGAAACUCUGAUGCAGCGACGCCGCGUGAGGGAAGAAGGUCUUCGGAUUGUAAACCUCUGUUGUCAGGGACGAUGAUGACGGUACCUGACGAGGAAGCCACGGCUAACUACGUGCCAGCAGCCGCGGUAAUCUGAGCGGGCUGGCAAGGC